This 1242-nucleotide long non-coding RNA is filed under the name Equus caballus (horse). RNAcentral describes it as "lncRNA (ENSECAG00000047384.1)". Lineage: Eukaryota; Metazoa; Chordata; Mammalia; Perissodactyla; Equidae. The record is from RNAcentral.
AUCUGUGUCAAAUCCCAUCUGUGUCAUCAUGCAGCUGCGUGACCUUGAUGCAGUCCUUCGAGGCAUCCGAGUCUCAGCUGCUUCAUCUCUCCCACGUUCCACUCCAGCUACCAGCUACCAAGUCCCUUCUAUAUGCCAACAAGGCCUAUCUCUCCAGUGAACUACACCCAAACCCCAUUCCUGAGCCCCUGCGAGGUGCUGGGGAGAAGAUGCUACAUUGAUCACCUUGUGGUCCCUCCUGGUCGAGCAGGGCACAGAGAGACCUGAACAGGUGCUUCAGUAGAAAGUGACGGAUGUGGCAAUAGGUGCACGACAAAGUGCCAUGGGAGCUUAGAGGAGGGACCACUUCAUCCUGUCAGGGGGCAGCUAGAGAAAGGCACAGAGGUGAGAGGAGAGGAUCAGAUCUGAUGAGCUAAUGAAGGAGAAAGCAGUUCGCAAUUUGUGAAGGGUUAUAAAAGGGAUGUCUUCGCACGCUUUCAAGUUUGGGCGCUGCUGCCUGUCUCAGGGGCUCGAUGGCAGGCAGAUUAAUGAACACGGGCCCGGCACAGAGGCCAGCCUGCCAAAAAUGUCUGCAGCGCAUUCAGCAGUCCCCACGGCGGGCUGCAGGAGGGACAAUCAGAGGCAACAAAAGACGCAGAGCUGCACAGUCAGUUCCCAGCAGCGGCUGCAGCUCUAAUCUGACCCAGAGUUCCACUGUGGAAAUGAUCUUCUGCCUCCAGCUCCUCCUCUGCCCUCAUCCAACCCUCCCCCCACCUCCCUGCAAGACUGCCACCCUUGAGCAGCCAGCUCGGAGGCCCCUUGAUGCUUUUAAAAAUAAAGAACCAGCAACAGCUAGUGGCCCAUGCCACAAACACCCAGUGUCUAGCGAGGCCCCAUUAAGGCUCUGGCAUGGGGCUGUGACAGACGAGGGCAGAGAGAAUGACACCCUCUGGUUGGCAGCACGCCGCCGGGCCCUCUGCUGCCCUGUGCUCUGUGAUGGGACUGCAGGGCAAGGGCAGGACGAGUUGGGCGUUUUUAGGAGGCUGUUUCUUUUCUUCCCUUCAGUGGAGUUCUUAACAAACUGGCAUGUAGUAUUCACUCCUCAGAAGGAGAAACAGAUGGUGCUAGUGUGGGCCUCAGGGAUAUUUACUUUGGAAACACCCAGCAUGAUGGGGUCUGUGAAAAACUUCUCAGCAGCUGGGGUCCCACUGUGCCCAGCCAGGUGUCCAGGGAGCCAGUUGUUCCUUGAAGGGGAGCUGCCAG